CCUACGGGGGGCUGCAGUGGGGAAUAUUGGACAAUGGGCGAAAGCCUGAUCCAGCCAUGCCGCGUGUGUGAAGAAGGCCUUCGGGUUGUAAAGCACUUUCAGUGGGGAAGAAAGCCUUGGGGCUAAUACCCUCGAGGAAGGACAUCACCCACUGAAGAAGCACCGGCUAACUCCGUGCCAGCAGCCGCGGUAAUACGGAGGGUGCGAGCGUUAAUCGGAAUUACUGGGCGUAAAGCGCGCGUAGGCGGUCUGAUAAGCCGGUUGUGAAAGCCCCGGGCUCAACCUGGGAACGGCAUCCGGAACUGUCAGGCUAGAGUGCAGGAGAGGAAGGUAGAAUUCCCGGUGUAGCGGUGAAAUGCGUAGAGAUCGGGAGGAAUACCAGUGGCGAAGGCGGCCUUCUGGACUGACACUGACGCUGAGGUGCGAAAGCGUGGGUAGCAAACAGGAUUAGAUACCCGAGUAGUC
RNAcentral lists this ribosomal RNA (465 nucleotides) under Vreelandella stevensii. RNAcentral's name for it is "partial 16S ribosomal RNA". It matches the Rfam family "Bacterial small subunit ribosomal RNA", at positions 338 to 795 of the family's 1533-position model. The record is from RNAcentral. Lineage: Bacteria; Pseudomonadati; Pseudomonadota; Gammaproteobacteria; Oceanospirillales; Halomonadaceae.